GACGAACGCUGGCGGCGUGCCUAAUACAUGCAAGUCGAACGCAUUUUCUUUCACCGUAGCUUGCUACACCGAAAGAAAAUGAGUGGCGAACGGGUGAGUAACACGUGGGUAACCUGCCCAUCAGCGGGGGAUAACACUUGGAAACAGGUGCUAAUACCGCAUAAUUCCAUUUACUGCAUGGUAGAUGGAUGAAAGGCGCUUUUGCGUCACUGAUGGAUGGACCCGCGGUGCAUUAGCUAGUUGGUGGGGUAACGGCCUACCAAGGCUGCGAUGCAUAGCCGACCUGAGAGGGUGAUCGGCCACACUGGGACUGAGACACGGCCCAGACUCCUACGGGAGGCAGCAGUAGGGAAUCUUCGGCAAUGGACGCAAGUCUGACCGAGCAACGCCGCGUGAGUGAAGAAGGUUUUCGGAUCGUAAAACUCUGUUGUUAGAAAAGAACAAGGAUGAGAGUGGAAAGUUCAUCCCUUGACGGUAUCUAACCAGAAAGCCACGGCUAACCACGUG
Molecule: ribosomal RNA, 507 nt
Filed under: uncultured bacterium
Lineage: Bacteria
Description: partial 16S ribosomal RNA
Rfam family: Bacterial small subunit ribosomal RNA
Source: RNAcentral